Molecule: small RNA, 35 nt
Filed under: Arabidopsis thaliana (thale cress)
Lineage: Eukaryota; Viridiplantae; Streptophyta; Magnoliopsida; Brassicales; Brassicaceae
Description: ATSL066140
Source: RNAcentral
UAUAACGAUGGAAGAAAUCAACGGCCACAUCGGCG